CCUACGGGAGGCAGCAGUGAGGAAUUUUCUGCAAUGGGCGAAAGCCUGACAGAGCAAUACCGCGUGAGGGAAGAAGGCUUACUGAGUUGUAAACCUCGGUGCCUUAAGGAAGAAGAUCUGACGGUACUUAAGGUGGAAAGCAUCGGCUAACCCCGUGCCAGCAGCCGCGGUAAGACGGGGGAUGCAAGUGUUAUCCGGAAUCACUGGGCGUAAAGCGUCUGCAGGUGGUUUCCUAAGUCCACUGUUAAACCUUGAGGCUCAACCUCAAAUCUGCAGUGGAAACUAGGGAACUUGAGGAUAGUAGGGGUAGAGGGAAUUUCCAGUGGAGCGGUGAAAUGCGUAGAUAUUGGAAAGAACACCGAUGGCGAAGGCACUCUACUGGGCUAUGACUGACACUCAGAGACGAAAGCUAGGGGAGCAAAUGGGAUUAGAUACCCCAGUAGUCCUAGCCGUAAACGAUGGAUACUCGAUGUUGGACGUAUCGACCCGUUCAGUAUCUUAGCUAACGCGUUAAGUAUCCGCAUGGGACA
RNAcentral lists this ribosomal RNA (530 nucleotides) under uncultured cyanobacterium. Its description in RNAcentral is "bacterial SSU rRNA". It matches the Rfam family "Bacterial small subunit ribosomal RNA", at positions 338 to 880 of the family's 1533-position model. Lineage: Bacteria; Bacillati; Cyanobacteriota. The record is from RNAcentral.